AGCUUUGCGCAGUGGCAAUAUUGUAGCCAAUGAGGUAUACCCAAGGUGCGAUUAUUGCUAAUUGAAAACUUUUCAACAAAAAA
This 83-nucleotide small nuclear RNA is filed under the name Echinops telfairi (small Madagascar hedgehog). RNAcentral describes it as "U4 spliceosomal RNA (ENSETEG00000020698.1)". It matches the Rfam family "U4 spliceosomal RNA", at positions 1 to 82 of the family's 138-position model. From Rfam's summary of the family: U4 small nuclear RNA (U4 snRNA) is a component of the major U2-dependent spliceosome. The structure of U4 snRNA from yeast and human has been reported. The record is from RNAcentral. Lineage: Eukaryota; Metazoa; Chordata; Mammalia; Afrosoricida; Tenrecidae.